This 360-nucleotide long non-coding RNA is filed under the name Equus caballus (horse). RNAcentral describes it as "lncRNA (ENSECAG00000054733.1)". The record is from RNAcentral. Lineage: Eukaryota; Metazoa; Chordata; Mammalia; Perissodactyla; Equidae.
UUGGAACCUCUGGGGAAGGGAGAAGAGUUGGAGGCUGACCUAAUCACCAAUGAACGUAUCACCUUCUUUCUCCUUCUGCCUGGAAAGAUAAAUUUGUGUCAAAUAUUGACUCUCCUACUGGACCAUGAGCUCCUGGAUAGCAGACUCAUGAAUUAUCACAGUCUUGUGUGCAAGGCAGACUGAACGUUGAGAAGACGUGAAGCGCAACGCCAGCCUCCAGUUACCAUCCUCGACAGCGGCCUUUCCUGAGAAGACGCGUUUCCGUGUUGCAAGGUGCGGAAGCUGCUGCUGUUUGUAGGAGACAGAGGUUGGAAUGAGCUAUCAGCUGAGAGUGAGGCACCGUGCUGUGGGGAGCCAGCA